This 497-nucleotide ribosomal RNA is filed under the name uncultured bacterium. Its description in RNAcentral is "partial 16S ribosomal RNA". It matches the Rfam family "Bacterial small subunit ribosomal RNA", at positions 30 to 523 of the family's 1533-position model. The record is from RNAcentral.
AUUGAACGCUGGCGGCAUGCUUUACACAUGCAAGUCGAACGGCAGCGCGGGGCAACCUGGCGGCGAGUGGCGAACGGGUGAGUAAUAUAUCGGAACGUACCCAGAAGUGGGGGAUAACGUAGCGAAAGUUACGCUAAUACCGCAUACGAUCUACGGAUGAAAGUGGGGGACCUUCGGGCCUCAUGCUUUUGGAGCGGCCGAUAUCUGGUUAGCUAGUUGGUGAGGUAAAGGCUCACCAAGGCGACGAUCAGUAGCUGGUCUGAGAGGACGACCAGCCACACUGGACUGAGGCAAGGCCCAGACUCCUACGGGAGGCAGCAGUGGGGAAUUUUGGACAAUGGGCGCAAGCCUGAUCCAGCAAUGCCGCGUGAGUGAAGAAGGCCUUCGGGUUGUAAAGCUCUUUUGUCAGGGAAGAAACGGCCGAGGAUAAUACCUUCGGCUAAUGACGGUACCUGAAGAAUAAGCACCGGCUAACUACGUGCCAGCCGCCGCCGUAA